This 31-nucleotide small RNA is filed under the name Bombyx mori (domestic silkworm). RNAcentral describes it as "ovarian small RNA-194". The record is from RNAcentral. Lineage: Eukaryota; Metazoa; Arthropoda; Insecta; Lepidoptera; Bombycidae.
UUGUCGCGUCCGCUGUGCAUACGGUGCACAC